GAACUUCCUUUGCCCUGUGGUCCUUUGAGCUGGACGUAGAAUCAGACUGACGUGAGACAGACCAGCAGAGAGAAUCCAAUGUAAUAGGCUGCAUGCAGGGAAUCCACACAGGCUGGAAAUUCCAAAGACAAUGAGGCAACGUGAAGCUUCUAUGAGCUCAGGAGAGGGGUAGCUCAGGAGAGGAUACAAAGGAAAGGAAGGCCAAUAGCAGGAAGGAGAAAGGAGAUGUCUGAAAACCAGGGUUGCCCUGUUUUGCUGCACACAGAGACAUGACAUUCCUCUACAAGCCAGCAGAGAGCUCUCCCCAGAACCAACCAUGCUGAUGCCUUUGCCCUUGGACUGCCAGCCUCCGGAACUGAUGGAACCCUGAACUGUUAUGUUUCACCUACAAUAGUUUUUUCUCCUUCCGCUGGCAACAGAAAUCAGCAGCUUAAGAGCCUUUCAAGGGCAAUUCUGUCCUACUGGGUCGUCUCGAAGUUGAAUGGAUUUCCAUGGAAGAGGGGCCUGCAGAGCUGAUAAUCGAACAAAGACCAGAGAAAAUGAAAUUCACCUGUACUGACCAAGUGGGCAAGGGAGGGCAAUCCAAUGUCAAAUAAAGGGUGUUUCCAAAGUCAA
Felis catus (domestic cat) is the source of this 615-nucleotide long non-coding RNA. RefSeq lists it as uncharacterized. The record is from RefSeq and is a predicted model, not a curated record. Lineage: Eukaryota; Metazoa; Chordata; Mammalia; Carnivora; Felidae. The transcript is spliced from 4 exons.